AACCUUGAGUAAUCGCGCCUAGCAUCUGUUAGGUGAGGAAAGUCCAUGCCCGCACUGGCUGCGAUGCCAGUAGUGUUCGUGCCAGGCCCAAUAAGCCUGGGUACUGAGAAAUCGGUAACGGCGACUCAAUUGCUAAAACUUCGGUCAUGCAGGCGAGUCUGAAAAGUGCCACAGAGACGAUGUCAUCGGGAAACUGGUGGAUUGGAACGGGUAAACCCCGCGAGCGAGUAACCCAAACUUUGGUAGGGGCGUCUGAGUAGAGGAAAUGAACCAACGCUCAGACAGCGAAAGCUGAGAUAGAUGAUUACUGAAGGUAUCUGCUGCCUGGCAGGUACUGGAACAAAACAUGGCUUAUAGAG
Molecule: RNase P RNA, 359 nt
Filed under: Lacticaseibacillus manihotivorans
Lineage: Bacteria; Bacillati; Bacillota; Bacilli; Lactobacillales; Lactobacillaceae
Also listed under: 1 other name
Description: Lactobacillus manihotivorans RNase P RNA component class B
Rfam family: Bacterial RNase P class B
About the family: Ribonuclease P (RNase P) is a ubiquitous endoribonuclease, found in archaea, bacteria and eukarya as well as chloroplasts and mitochondria. Its best characterised activity is the generation of mature 5'-ends of tRNAs by cleaving the 5'-leader elements of precursor-tRNAs.
Source: RNAcentral